Molecule: long non-coding RNA, 312 nt
Filed under: Mytilus galloprovincialis (Mediterranean mussel)
Lineage: Eukaryota; Metazoa; Mollusca; Bivalvia; Mytilida; Mytilidae
Source: RNAcentral
GGAAAUUUUGCUGUUUUUGGUUAUUAUCUUGAAUAUUAUUAUAGAUAGAGAUAAAUAGUAAACAGCAAUAAUGUUCAGCAAAGUAAGUUUUACAAAUAAGUCAACAUUACUGAAAUGGUCAGUUGACCCCUUUAGGAGUUAUUGCCCUUUAUAGUCAAUUUUUAACCAUUUUUUGUAAAUCUUAGUAAUCUUUUACAAAAAUCUUCUCCUCUGAAACUACUGGGCCAAAUUAAUCCAAACUUGGUCACAAUCAUCUUUUGUGUUAGUAGUUUGAAAAAUGUGUCCGGUGACCCGGCCAUCCAACCAAGAUGG